CGCCCCUUAGUGCUGCAGCUAACGCAUUAAGCACUCCGCCUGGGGAGUACGGUCGCAAGACUGAAACUCAAAGGAAUUGACGGGCGCCGUGUCCAAGCGUGGAGCCUGUUGUUUAAUUUGAAGCAACCGCGAAGAACCUUACCAGGUCUGACCAUCUCCUGACAACCUUAAGAUAGGGCUUUUCCCUUCGGGAACAAGUGACAGGGGGGGGCAUGCUUUCGGUCAGUCCGGUCGGUGGAAUGUGGGUUAAGUCCCGCAACGAGCGCAAACCUUGAUCCUAGUUGCCAGCCAUUAGUUUGGCACUUCUAGGGGACUGCCGGGGAACAACCGGAAGAAGGGGUGGGAUGACGUCCAAUCAUCAUGCCCCUUAUGACCUGGGCUACACACAGUGCUACCAUGGAACAAACAAAGGGCUGCCAGGCCGCAAGGUUUAGCCCAUCCCAUAAAUCUGUUCUCAAGUCCGAUCGCAGUCUGCAACUCGACUGCGUGAAGCUGGAAUCGGUAGUAAUCCGGAUCAGCAUGCCGCGGUGAAACGUUCCCGGCCU
This 545-nucleotide ribosomal RNA is filed under the name Bacillus pumilus. Its description in RNAcentral is "bacterial SSU rRNA". It matches the Rfam family "Bacterial small subunit ribosomal RNA", at positions 834 to 1381 of the family's 1533-position model. Lineage: Bacteria; Bacillati; Bacillota; Bacilli; Caryophanales; Bacillaceae. The record is from RNAcentral.